Molecule: ribosomal RNA, 460 nt
Filed under: uncultured bacterium
Lineage: Bacteria
Description: partial 16S ribosomal RNA
Rfam family: Bacterial small subunit ribosomal RNA
Source: RNAcentral
CCUACGGGUGGCAGCAGUGAGGAAUAUUGGUCAAUGGACGAGAGUCUGAACCAGCCAAGUAGCGUGAAGGAUGACUGCCCUAUGGGUUGUAAACUUCUUUUAUAAAGGAAUAAAACGAGGCACGUGUGCCUUUUUGCAUGUACUUUAUGAAUAAGGAUCGGCUAACUCCGUGCCAGCAGCCGCGGUAAUACGGAGGAUCCGAGCGUUAUCCGGAUUUAUUGGGUUUAAAGGGAGCGUAGAUGGGUUGUUAAGUCAGCUGUGAAAGUUUGCGGCUCAACCGUAAAAUUGCAAUUGAUACUGGCAGUCGUGAGUACAGUUGAGGUAGGCGGAAUUCGUGGUGUAGCGGUGAAAUGCUUAGAUAUCACGAAGAACCCCGAUUGCGAAGGCAGCUUACUAAACUGUGACUGACAUUGAUGCUCGAAAGUGUGGGUAUCAAACAGGAUUAGAUACCCUAGUAGUC